Molecule: ribosomal RNA, 254 nt
Filed under: uncultured bacterium
Lineage: Bacteria
Description: partial 16S ribosomal RNA
Rfam family: Bacterial small subunit ribosomal RNA
Source: RNAcentral
UACGGGGGGAGCAAGCGUUGUUCGGAUUUACUGGGCGUAAAGGGCGCGUAGGCGGUCAGCACAAGUCAGUUGUGAAAUCUCCGGGCUUAACUCGGAAAGGUCAACUGAUACUGUGCGACUAGAGUGCGGAAGGGGCAACUGGAAUUCUCGGUGUAGCGGUGAAAUGCGUAGAUAUCCUGAGGAACACCGGUGGCGAAAGCGGCGCGCUGGAUCCCUUCUGACGCUGAGGCGCGAAAGCCAGGGGAGCAAACGGG